This 488-nucleotide ribosomal RNA is filed under the name uncultured bacterium. RNAcentral's name for it is "partial 16S ribosomal RNA". It matches the Rfam family "Bacterial small subunit ribosomal RNA", at positions 28 to 507 of the family's 1533-position model. The record is from RNAcentral.
GACGAACGCUGGCGGCGUGCUUAACACAUGCAAGUCGAACGCGCCUGUCCUCUGGGUUUCUGGGGGGUGGGUGAGUGGCGAACGGGUGAGUAACACGUGAGUAACCUGCCCCCUUCUUCGGGAUAACGGUCUGAAAGGGCUGCUAAUACCGGGUAUUCACUGGUCUCCGCAUGGGGUCUGGUGGAAAGGUUUUUUUCUGGUGGGGGAUGGGCUCGCGGCCUAUCAGCUUGUUGGUGGGGUGAUGGCCCACCAAGGCUUUGACGGGUAGCCGGCCUGAGAGGGUGACCGGUCACAUUGGGACUGAGAUACGGCCCAGACUCCUACGGGAGGCAGCAGUGGGGAAUAUUGCACAAUGGGCGCAAGCCUGAUGCGGCGACGCCGCGUGAGGGAUGGAGGCCUUCGGGUUGUGAACCUCUUUCGCCCGUGGUCAAGCCGCGACGUGGGUCGUGGUGAGGGUAGUGGGUAAAGAAGCGCCGGCUAACUACGUG